UGGGGAAUUUUGGACAAUGGGCGCAAGCCUGAUCCAGCCAUGCCGCGUGCGGGAAGAAGGCCUUCGGGUUGUAAACCGCUUUUGUCAGGGAAGAAAUCUUCUGAGUUAAUACCUCGGGAGGAUGACGGUACCUGAAGAAUAAGCACCGGCUAACUACGUGCCAGCAGCCGCGGUAAUACGUAGGGUGCAAGCGUUGAUCGGAAUUACUGGGCGUAAAGCGUGCGCAGGCGGUUUUGUAAGACAGAGGUGAAAUCCCCGGGCUCAACCUGGGAACUGCCUUUGUGACUGCAAGGCUUGAGUGCGGCAGAGGGGGGAUGGAAUUCCGCGUGUAGCAGUGAAAUGCGUAGAUAUGCGGAGGAACACCGAUGGCGAAGGCAAUCCCCUGGGCCUGCACUGACGCUCAUGCACGAAAGCGUGGGGAGCAAACAGGAUUAGAUAGCCCUGGUAGUCCACGCCCUAAAACGAUGUCAACUGGUUGUUGGGAAGGUUCCUUCUCAGUAACGUAGCUAACGCGUGAAGUUGACCGCCU
This 529-nucleotide ribosomal RNA is filed under the name uncultured bacterium. Its description in RNAcentral is "partial 16S ribosomal RNA". It matches the Rfam family "Bacterial small subunit ribosomal RNA", at positions 355 to 874 of the family's 1533-position model. The record is from RNAcentral.